This 440-nucleotide ribosomal RNA is filed under the name uncultured bacterium. RNAcentral's name for it is "partial 16S ribosomal RNA". It matches the Rfam family "Bacterial small subunit ribosomal RNA", at positions 338 to 795 of the family's 1533-position model. The record is from RNAcentral.
CCUACGGGUGGCAGCAGUGGGGAAUAUUGCACAAUGGGGGGAACCCUGAUGCAGCGACGCCGCGUGAGUGAAGAAGUAUCUCGGUAUGUAAAGCUCUAUCAGCAGGGAAGAAAAUGACGGUACCUGACUAAGAAGCCCCGGCUAACUACGUGCCAGCAGCCGCGGUAAUCCGUAGGGGGCAAGCGUUAUCCGGAUUUACUGGGUGUAAAGGGAGCGCAGACGGCUUUGCAAGUCUGGAGUGAAAGUCCGGGGCCCAACCCCCGGACUGCUCUGGAAACUGGGAGGCUGGAGUGCAGGAGAGGUAAGCGGAAUUCCUAGUGUAGCGGUGAAAUGCGUAGAUAUUAGGAGGAACACCAGUGGCGAAGGCGGCUUACUGGACUGCAACUGACGUUGAGGCUCGAAAGCGUGGGGAGCAAACAGGAUUAGAUACCCCAGUAGUC